UUCCAGACUCCUACGGGAGGCAGCAGUGGGGAAUAUUGCACAAUGGGGGAAACCCUGAUGCAGCGACGCCGCGUGAGUGAAGAAGUAUUUCGGUAUGUAAAGCUCUAUCAGCAGGGAAGAAAAUGACGGUACCUGACUAAGAAGCCCCGGCUAACUACGUGCCAGCAGCCGCGGUAAUACGUAGGGGGCAAGCGUUAUCCGGAUUUACUGGGUGUAAAGGGAGCGUAGACGGCAGCGCAAGCCAGGAGUGAAAGCCCGGGGCCCAACCCCGGGACUGCUCUUGGAACUGCGCGGCUGGAGUGCAGGAGGGGCAGGCGGAAUUCCUGGUGUAGCGGUGAAAUGCGUAGAUAUCAGGAGGAACACCGGUGGCGAAGGCGGCCUGCUGGACUGCGACUGACGUUGAGGCCCGAAAGCGUGGGGAGCAAACAGGAUUAGAUACCCUUGUAGC
RNAcentral lists this ribosomal RNA (448 nucleotides) under uncultured bacterium. RNAcentral's name for it is "bacterial SSU rRNA". It matches the Rfam family "Bacterial small subunit ribosomal RNA", at positions 329 to 794 of the family's 1533-position model. The record is from RNAcentral.